Non-coding RNA from Vicia faba (fava bean), 279 nucleotides. NCBI's taxonomy places the organism in Eukaryota, Viridiplantae, Streptophyta, Magnoliopsida, Fabales, Fabaceae. The record is from the annotation of a GenBank genome assembly.
AUGAUGAUAAUACUGAUGGUUCCUUUUUUUACAUCAACAAUCACUCACAUUCUUUCCAUAAAAAUUCACAUUCAUCAAUACACCAAUUCACACGGUACAUACUAUCAUUCUAACAUAUUACAUGCCCAAUUUUCUCAUUGUUGCAUUUCUUGGACAAAUUUUAAAGUAAUAAUUUCACCAUUCCAAAACCACUUUUUACACUUUACCAAAGGCCUUCACAAAUCUUCUAUUUCUCAAACUACUGUCAUAAACCAUACAAAAAUAAUCUCUUCAAAUUGA